AUGUGUGUGAGGGAGCUGACAGGAGUGGGCUUUCCCUGCCAAACCAGCGAGGCCCAAAACACCCUGGCAGAAGAGUGGAGCUCACCAUCGACCCAUGCCAAGGGCUCAGGGGAGGUUUCAACCCGAGAAGCCCUCCCGAGGGGCCCCGCUCCGCUCCGCCAGCACGGCCCUGCGACAACCACCAAGUUGCAGGCCCCCCCCGCCCCCCGCCCUCACGAGCAGGGCCGGUGGAGCAGCACGGGCCGUUCUCUCCCUCUCGGCCCUCCUGCCCAGACAAGGCCCCGUUACCGACCCCGGAAACUUUGGGCACUCCUGAGGAGCGGCCUGUCGGCGGCCCAGGUCCCGGCCCACGCCCUCCCCUUUUGUGUGGGGACGCUGCCCGGACACGGCGGCGGGAAGCUCAGCCCGGCGGAGCGGGGGCGCCCGUCCCCGCCCGGAACCCGCGGCGUGGGCCUCGGGCGGGGGCGAGCGGGCCCCACCCGGGAACCGCGGCCCUGGGCCGCGCCGGGAAGGGGGAAAACCGGCGAGCCGCCCCGCAGAGCGGCACAGAACCCCAUCCCCGGUACCUGCGGCCUCCACUGGAUCGCUCUCCCGCCGCUUCCUGCUCCACAGGCCCGAGCUCGAGCAGCGGCGAACGGAAACGGGCGGGGCGGGGGCGUGCGCGCUCACCGGGCCCGGCGCGACGCGGCGCUUCGCUGCGCGACGCUUCCUCAGGCCGGCCCGCCCGCGCGCGCGCGCGUACCCGCCCGCCUGCCUGCCCGCGCGCGCGCGCUCUCGCGGCCGCGCCGCAACCAAUCGCUACGCCCCAGCGCGAGGGCUGCCGGGAAGGAGAGCUAUAAAAGCCCGGGUGCUAUUUACGCCGCGUGGGUUGGGCUUUGUGUGUGCGCGGGUGUGGAGGUUCUCGGGCUGGGUCGGCUGUUGGUCUCGCGGGCUUGGCCUGGUCGCUGCAGGCCUGGUCCUUCAGUGAGCCUCCUUCAGGGCAUGCCUGUGGUGGCAGAGCUCCCCUGCCUUGCUAGCCUGUUGCUUCAGUUCUGUCCUGGCCAUCUGUCUUCCCCUUUUUCUUUUCCUGCUGUGGUGUGGAUGAGCUUGGUGGCAGCAGGGCCUUGA
RNAcentral lists this long non-coding RNA (1107 nucleotides) under Apteryx rowi (Okarito brown kiwi). RNAcentral's name for it is "lncRNA (ENSARWG00000013007.1)". The record is from RNAcentral. Lineage: Eukaryota; Metazoa; Chordata; Aves; Apterygiformes; Apterygidae.